This 276-nucleotide unclassified non-coding RNA is filed under the name soil metagenome. RNAcentral describes it as "partial internal transcribed spacer 1". The record is from RNAcentral.
CCGUGUAUCCACGUACAAACAAUGUGAACUGUUCCCAAUGGAAAUGAAUGUUAUGAAGGCUUGCUGAUGGCGGUUCAGGAUUUUUAUCUCGAACUGAGUCUUGAUAACGGCUUCGCGAAAGCGAAAGCAAGUUCAUUCCCAUUGAGUUACUCACCAUCGGUUGUGAAACCUUAUUAACCCUGUACCUUUUGAACUAAACUAUUCUUCGAUACCACAGAAGCCUUGUUGGCUUAGCCACGGCUGAAGGGUUCGUAGAAAUUGAUACCAAAUUAAGAA